RNAcentral lists this ribosomal RNA (1296 nucleotides) under Vitreoscilla stercoraria DSM 513. Its description in RNAcentral is "bacterial LSU rRNA". It matches the Rfam family "Bacterial large subunit ribosomal RNA", at positions 1640 to 2925 of the family's 2925-position model. The record is from RNAcentral. Lineage: Bacteria; Pseudomonadati; Pseudomonadota; Betaproteobacteria; Neisseriales; Neisseriaceae.
AACCGUACCGCAAACCGACACAGGUGGGUGGGAUGAAAAUUCUAAGGCGCUUGAGAGAACUCGGGAGAAGGAACUCGGCAAAUUGAUACCGUAACUUCGGGAGAAGGUAUGCCUGGUAUUGUGAAGGAUUUACUCCGUAAGCAACGCCAGGCCGCAGAGAAUCGGUGGCUGCGACUGUUUAUUAAAAACACAGCACUCUGCUAACACGAAAGUGGACGUAUAGGGUGUGACGCCUGCCCGGUGCUGGAAGGUUAAUUGAAGAUGUGCAAGCAUCGGAUCGAAGCCCCAGUAAACGGCGGCCGUAACUAUAACGGUCCUAAGGUAGCGAAAUUCCUUGUCGGGUAAGUUCCGACCCGCACGAAUGGCGUAACGAUGGCCACACUGUCUCCUCCCGAGACUCAGCGAAGUUGAAAUGGUUGUGAAGAUGCAAUCUACCCGCUGCUAGACGGAAAGACCCCGUGAACCUUUACUGUAGCUUUGCAUUGGACUUUGAAGUCACUUGUGUAGGAUAGGUGGGAGGCUUUGAAGCACAGACGCUAGUCUGUGUGGAGCCGUCCUUGAAAUACCACCCUGGUGACUUUGAGGUUCUAACCCAGGUCCGUUAUCCGGAUCGGGGACCGUGCAUGGUAGGCAGUUUGACUGGGGCGGUCUCCUCCCAAAGAGUAACGGAGGAGUUCGAAGGUUACCUAGGUCCGGUCGGAAAUCGGACUGAUAGUGCAAUGGCAAAAGGUAGCUUAACUGCGAGACCAACAAGUCGAGCAGGUGCGAAAGCAGGACAUAGUGAUCCGGUGGUUCUGUAUGGAAGGGCCAUCGCUCAACGGAUAAAAGGUACUCCGGGGAUAACAGGCUGAUUCCGCCCAAGAGUUCAUAUCGACGGCGGAGUUUGGCACCUCGAUGUCGGCUCAUCACAUCCUGGGGCUGUAGUCGGUCCCAAGGGUAUGGCUGUUCGCCAUUUAAAGUGGUACGUGAGCUGGGUUUAAAACGUCGUGAGACAGUUUGGUCCCUAUCUGCAGUGGGCGUUGGAAAUUUGACGGGGGCUGCUCCUAGUACGAGAGGACCGGAGUGGACGAACCUCUGGUGUACCGGUUGUCACGCCAGUGGCAUAGCCGGGUAGCUAAGUUCGGAAGAGAUAAACGCUGAAAGCAUCUAAGCGUGAAACUCGCCUGAAGAUGAGAUUUCCCUUGUGGUUUAACCACACUAAAGAGUCGUUCGAGACCAGGACGUUGAUAGGUGGGGUGUGGAAGAGCGGUAACGCUUGAAGCUAACCCAUACUAAUUGCUCGUGAGGCUUGACUCU